AAAACGACUCUCAGCAACGGAUAUCUCGGCUCUCGCAUCGAUGAAGAACGUAGCGAAAUGCGAUACUUGGUGUGAAUUGCAGAAUCCCGUGAACCAUCGAGUCUUUGAACGCAAGUUGCGCCCGAAGCCUUUAGGCCGAGGGCACGCCUGCCUGGGCGUCACA
This 163-nucleotide ribosomal RNA is filed under the name Pyrus x bretschneideri (Chinese white pear). RNAcentral's name for it is "5.8S ribosomal RNA". It matches the Rfam family "5.8S ribosomal RNA". Rfam says of the family: 5.8S ribosomal RNA (5.8S rRNA) is a component of the large subunit of the eukaryotic ribosome. Lineage: Eukaryota; Viridiplantae; Streptophyta; Magnoliopsida; Rosales; Rosaceae. The record is from RNAcentral.